GCCCCAGUGGCGGAAUGGUAGACGCAGUAGACUCAAAAUCUACCGCCCUUACGGGCGUGCUGGUUCAAGUCCGGCCUGGGGCACCA
This 86-nucleotide transfer RNA is filed under the name Pseudomonadota bacterium. RNAcentral's name for it is "Proteobacteria bacterium (activated sludge metagenome) tRNA-Leu". It matches the Rfam family "tRNA". Rfam says of the family: Transfer RNA (tRNA) molecules are approximately 80 nucleotides in length. The record is from RNAcentral. RNAcentral also lists the same sequence under 1 other name. Lineage: Bacteria; Pseudomonadati; Pseudomonadota.